Molecule: ribosomal RNA, 253 nt
Filed under: uncultured bacterium
Lineage: Bacteria
Description: partial 16S ribosomal RNA
Rfam family: Bacterial small subunit ribosomal RNA
Source: RNAcentral
UACAGGGGGGGCAAGCGUUGUUCGGAAUUACUGGGCGUAAAGGGUUCGUAGGUGGCUAACUAAGUCAGACGUGAAAUCCCUCAGCUUAACUGGGGAACUGCGUCUGAAACUGGAUAGCUUGAGUGCAGGAGAGGAACGCGGAAUUCCAGGUGUAGCGGUGAAAUGCGUAGAUAUCUGGAGGAACACCGGUGGCGAAGGCGGCGUUCUGGACUGCAACUGACACUGAGGAACGAAAGCCAGGGGAGCAAACGGG